Molecule: long non-coding RNA, 631 nt
Filed under: Phoenix dactylifera (date palm)
Lineage: Eukaryota; Viridiplantae; Streptophyta; Magnoliopsida; Arecales; Arecaceae
Description: long non-coding RNA (PDAC_LNC020321)
Source: RNAcentral
AGAUUUUCUAAUUUGAUACCACAGAUAGUUUUCUAAUCAAGUGUAGGUGGAAUCUUCCUUAGGUUAAUUCAAGAAGUACCACAAAUGAUAUUCAAGGAAAAAUAUGAGUGGAAAUCUAACCUCUCUUCACUAAGUAUGAAAGCUUGUUCAUUUAAGACCUUUUGCCCAAUCUAUUAAGUAUUUUAUCAACCAUGAGAGCAAAUUAAUUAAUUCUCUUAAUGACUUCAAAGUUCUUUUAUGAUAAUAGGAGCAUUGGGGCACAAAUAUCAAAAUAUACAUUCAUGCAAUUUUUGAUACAUCUUAGAGCUCUUUUAAAGACUUUCUUUUAUUUCUUUAGAAAAUAAGCACAAUUUGAUACAUAAAAUAAUGAAUUUGCACAAAAUUGAAGUUCCAAAAAGCAAGCCAAUUAGAGCUCAUUAGUGAAGUUCAAAAUAGAUUUUCUAAAAGAUACUCAAGAAAAUUUUACACGUUAUUCUCCCCCUUUUUCAUUAAAUUAGAGGCUCUUAAAAUUUGCAAUUUGGUUCAAGAGUGAUGCAUGAGAUAUACUAACCAAAUAACACGCCUCAAGGUGUAUCAUAAAGAUUUUCAGAUUUAAAUUUCAGAUGAUACAUAUUGGAGAGUAUUAGGAUCA